UCCCUGGUGGCUCAGUCAGUAAAGAAUCUGCCUGCAAUGCAGGAGACCAAGGUUCAAUCCCUGGAUUGGGAA
Molecule: non-coding RNA, 72 nt
Organism: Bos taurus (domestic cattle)
Lineage: Eukaryota; Metazoa; Chordata; Mammalia; Artiodactyla; Bovidae
Source: Rfam